This 252-nucleotide ribosomal RNA is filed under the name uncultured bacterium. RNAcentral's name for it is "partial 16S ribosomal RNA". It matches the Rfam family "Bacterial small subunit ribosomal RNA", at positions 57 to 305 of the family's 1533-position model. The record is from RNAcentral.
GCAAGUCGAACGAAGUCGAUGGAGCUUGCUCCGGUUGAUUUAGUGGCGAACGGGUGCGUAACACGUGAGGAAUCUGUCCCGGACUCUGGGAUAACAGUUGGAAACGGCUGCUAAUACCGGAUGUCUUCAUUUGGCCGCAUGGUUGUUUGAAGAAAGAUUUAUCGGUUUGGGAGGAUCUCGCGGCCUAUCAGCUUGUUGGAGAGGUAAUGGCUCACCAAGGCAACGACGGGUACCGGGACUGAGAGGUCGAUC